GAUGAACGCUAGCUACAGGCUUAACACAUGCAAGUCGAGGGGAAACGACAUUGAAGCUUGCUUCGAUGGUCGUCGACCGGCGCACGGGUGAGUAACGCGUAUCCAACCUGCCUCUGACCAAGGGAUAACCCGUCGAAAGUCGGCCUAAUACCUUAUGCAGUCGUCGGAAGUCAUCUGAUGACGACGAAAGAUUUCAUCGGUGAGAGAUGGGGAUGCGUCUGAUUAGCUUGUUGGCGGGGUAACGGCCCACCAAGGCAACGAUCAGUAGGGGUUCUGAGAGGAAGGUCCCCCACAUUGGAACUGAGACACGGUCCAAACUCCUACGGGAGGCAGCAGUGAGGAAUAUUGGUCAAUGGGCGAGAGCCUGAACCAGCCAAGUAGCGUGCAGGAUGACGGCCCUAUGGGUUGUAAACUGCUUUUAUGCGGGGAUAAAGUGAGGGACGUGUCCUUCAUUGCAGGUACCGCAUGAAUAAGGACCGGCUAGUUCCGUG
Molecule: ribosomal RNA, 491 nt
Filed under: uncultured bacterium
Lineage: Bacteria
Description: partial 16S ribosomal RNA
Rfam family: Bacterial small subunit ribosomal RNA
Source: RNAcentral